CCAAAAUGGAAUUAAACUCUAAAAGUACAAAAAGAUACCAAAAAUAAGAUUUCCCAAAAUUUAAAAAAAAUCGUGUCCCAGAAAUGUACUAUGCGGUAGCAUAGUUCAUUUCAAUGCAAUUGCAUAGAACAUUUAAAAAUCCUCAAUUUGGCAUUGGUAUGAAGCUAUGUGGUCGCAUGCAUUUUAAGCUAUGUAGUCGUAUAGCUUUAAACUUGACAUCUCUUUUUUCUUUGUGCUAAAUUUCGUGACGAUUUCGGAUUGCAUUCAUGGACAAAAAUCUGACACACAAGCUUAAAGUUAUGCUUGUUUUUAUCCACGCUACUCAUUUUUCUCAUAUAUCUUACAAAAUUUGAAUCCAAUGCACCAAACUUGCCACCAUCUUCAUGUCCAACAUGUAAGUUGUUAUUUGGCUUGUUGCACACAAUCUCUUUGGCUUCUGCAUCUCGGACAACUCAUUUUGUGGAUAACUUGAUUCUUCGUGGCUCUUGAUCUUGUCUUUAGUUCCUCUUCAAUUUGAGCUAGAUCUUUGUAAUUUGUUGUCUUCCUUGGAUCACAUCAUUUAGCAAGACAUAUAUAUAUAUAUAUAUA
Molecule: long non-coding RNA, 588 nt
Filed under: Olea europaea subsp. europaea
Lineage: Eukaryota; Viridiplantae; Streptophyta; Magnoliopsida; Lamiales; Oleaceae
Source: RNAcentral